ACUCCUGGCUGGGCUUCAACAGGCCUUUCGCAGGGCUCAGCUGGAACGGCGCAGCACAUACCCACUUGAAGCAUGUCUGGAGUUUACUGUGGGAAGAAGAGUAUGCGGAAAGUGGCCGGAAAGUGGUGCGUGAAGAGUGUUGAACAGCACAGAGUGGAAGCAGCACAGAGUCAGGAACCUCCAAGGCAUGACAGGGAAUGGUGGCACGGAGGCAUACUUUGAAGCUGCCAUCUUUACUUUGAAACUCAAUGCCGUCCUCAUACUCACACUGUCCCAAGCAGUCAGACAGACACACAAACCGAUACACAGACAGAAGACAUGAAACAAUCAAGGUGGAGCAUAUAACAUCCCUGAUGGUCCCAGUCCUCCCAGACCAGCUCUGGCCUCGUUUCCAAGCCUAAGAAGCAGCUUCUUUUGCUGGACACAUGUCGCUGGUGAUCCCCUUCCUGUUGCCUGUUGUGAUUCCCUAGAUCCUGCCAGGUGGGGCGUUGCAGAAGAUGUGAAUUUUGGAAAAAGACAGAUAAAUGACUUUAAGACUCAUUAAUUGAACCUUUAGUAUUUAAUACUCUUUGUAGACCUGAAACUGCCAUAUUCCUAUAGUUAUUUCAAAAAAGACCACCUUCUUUACAAGCAGUGAGCUGUGUUAUUCUGCCCUGAAAGUUUUGUGCUGACAUUAUUUGUGGGACUGACCAGUAGAAAUGGAUGAGGUCACUCAUAAAUCAACAUGUUUUGUGCACAUGUGCCAUUAUGUCAGAACAACUGAGGACUAAUGCACAAAUGGACAGAUAUGGUCAAUGUUAUCACAAUGCAGUCUAGUAAAAACUAGCUCAUGAGCAACACUGUAACUGUUUAAUGGCAUGCAAA
This is a long non-coding RNA of Xiphias gladius (swordfish), 864 nucleotides long. RefSeq lists it as uncharacterized. NCBI's taxonomy places the organism in Eukaryota, Metazoa, Chordata, Actinopteri, Istiophoriformes, Xiphiidae. The transcript is spliced from 3 exons. The record is from RefSeq and is a predicted model, not a curated record.